AUCACCUGGCCAAUACCAUACCUACGGUGAAGCAUGGGGUUGGCAGCAUCAUGCUGUGGGAAUGUUUUUCAGCGGCUGGAACUGGGAGACUGGAUUGAGGGAAAGAU
Long non-coding RNA from Amblyraja radiata (thorny skate), 107 nucleotides. RefSeq lists it as uncharacterized. The record is from RefSeq and is a predicted model, not a curated record. The transcript is spliced from 3 exons. NCBI's taxonomy places the organism in Eukaryota, Metazoa, Chordata, Chondrichthyes, Rajiformes, Rajidae.